Molecule: unclassified non-coding RNA, 620 nt
Filed under: Hevea brasiliensis (rubber tree)
Lineage: Eukaryota; Viridiplantae; Streptophyta; Magnoliopsida; Malpighiales; Euphorbiaceae
Source: RNAcentral
AUCAGAACCUUCUCCAUCUCCCUAACAUCGGGAACAGAUGCAUAAGCAUUUAAGAGGAUACUAUAGGAAAUCAUAUCACCAGAAACUCCCUUGUCUUCCAUCUCUAACAUAAGUGACUGUAGCUUCUCAAGAUAUCCCAAUUUAGCAUAAAGGGUCAUCAUAACAUUGUAUGCUACUGUGCCAGCAUAGGCCAACUCCUUCAACUUUUGCAUGGUAUCUUCUGCUUUUUUUAUGACCAUUGCAUUAGCAUAGCAGUUCAAGAGAGCACCAUAUACCUGGUAGGUUCUUGAAUCAUCUGGAAUGCUAGUGAAAUAUGUCUCUGCGGCUUCCAGACCAUGGGCUUUUGAUACUAAAUCCAGUUCGACUGCAAAAUCUCUAGGCGAUAUAUCAAAAUCUUUGGACUUCUUAAUCCACUCAAAAACCUGAAGGGCAUGAUUGUAGCGACGGUAAGCUCGAAACUGUCUGACGAUGAUCUGUAGGUCUUCAUACUUAAUGGGAUUUUGCUCAGUAACCCAUUUGUCGAGUACAGAUAUGACGGAGUCCUUAGAGCGCGUCAAAUAGAGUAGCCUACUGUUCAGAGCAUUCUUUGGAGACGCUUGUUCAUCUUUAUCAGGCAAAAA